Molecule: long non-coding RNA, 887 nt
Filed under: Sorghum bicolor (sorghum)
Lineage: Eukaryota; Viridiplantae; Streptophyta; Magnoliopsida; Poales; Poaceae
Description: long non-coding RNA (SBIC_LNC018045)
Source: RNAcentral
CGGGACAAAAGCCUAGCCUUUAGUCCCGGUUGGUACCACCAACCGGGAUUAAAAGCCGGUUCCACCAGCCGGGACUAGUGUUGGAAUUUAGACCCGGUUUUUAAAAGGAACCGGGACUAAAUGUCCCUCCCCAUAUUUGAACUCUUCUUCCCGUGGCCGAGCCCAUCGAUCUUCACUCUUUUGUUGUGUUCUUCAUUCGGAGUUGCUUGUUAUUGCUCUCAUCUCCGGCUAUUGAUUCAUUUCAUCGUUUCUACACCGUCAUCGACUUGUUAAGAGGUCACUAGCUUUAUCUUCUCAACAUUUAGAAGCGGCAUAUGUCAUUUCCUAGUGUUACGUAUAUUAUUUUUUAUUUUAUGGUUUUUUAAGAGGUUAUUAGCUUCAUCGCCAUUUCAAAAGCGACGUGUUUUUUUAGAGAAAUAGUGGUAAUAUGUUUUUUAUUUUAAUUAGUUUAGAAAAAAAUAAAAACAUAUAAUACUUUAAUUUGCAAUUUUUGACCGAUUUAGUUAGUUAAUUAUAACUAGUAUGCAUACCACAUUUCAUGAUUAUUUAGGAAAAUAGAGAAUUUUUGUGCUUUUUUAAUUUUGCUUGUUUAGAAAAAUUAGAAAUAGAGAAUUUUAGGUUUUUUGUUACUUUAAUUUCUCUAUUAAAAAUUAGAAACUUAUAAUACUUUAAUUUGCAAUUUAUGACAAGGUUAAUUAGUUAAUUAUAACUAGUAUGCAUACCACAUUUCAUGAUUAGUUAGAAAUAUAGAUAACUUUUGUGUUUUUUUUUAAUUUUGGUUGUUUAGAAAAAUUAGAAAUAGAGAAUUUUAGGUUUUUUGUUACUUUAAUUUCUCUAUUAAAAAUUAGAAACUUAUAUUUCUUUAAUUUGCACUUUAUGACAUGGUU